Molecule: ribosomal RNA, 2903 nt
Filed under: Escherichia fergusonii
Lineage: Bacteria; Pseudomonadati; Pseudomonadota; Gammaproteobacteria; Enterobacterales; Enterobacteriaceae
Description: 23S ribosomal RNA
Rfam family: Bacterial large subunit ribosomal RNA
Source: RNAcentral
GGUUAAGCGACUAAGCGUACACGGUGGAUGCCCUGGCAGUCAGAGGCGAUGAAGGACGUGCUAAUCUGCGAUAAGCGUCGGUAAGGUGAUAUGAACCGUUAUAACCGGCGAUUUCCGAAUGGGGAAACCCAGUGUGUUUCGACACACUAUCAUUAACUGAAUCCAUAGGUUAAUGAGGCGAACCGGGGGAACUGAAACAUCUAAGUACCCCGAGGAAAAGAAAUCAACCGAGAUUCCCCCAGUAGCGGCGAGCGAACGGGGAGGAGCCCAGAGCCUGAAUCAGUGUGUGUGUUAGUGGAAGCGUCUGGAAAGGCGCGCGAUACAGGGUGACAGCCCCGUACACAAAAAUGCACAUGCUGUGAGCUCGAUGAGUAGGGCGGGACACGUGGUAUCCUGUCUGAAUAUGGGGGGACCAUCCUCCAAGGCUAAAUACUCCUGACUGACCGAUAGUGAACCAGUACCGUGAGGGAAAGGCGAAAAGAACCCCGGCGAGGGGAGUGAAAAAGAACCUGAAACCGUGUACGUACAAGCAGUGGGAGCCUCUUUAUGGGGUGACUGCGUACCUUUUGUAUAAUGGGUCAGCGACUUAUAUUCUGUAGCAAGGUUAACCGAAUAGGGGAGCCGAAGGGAAACCGAGUCUUAACUGGGCGUUAAGUUGCAGGGUAUAGACCCGAAACCCGGUGAUCUAGCCAUGGGCAGGUUGAAGGUUGGGUAACACUAACUGGAGGACCGAACCGACUAAUGUUGAAAAAUUAGCGGAUGACUUGUGGCUGGGGGUGAAAGGCCAAUCAAACCGGGAGAUAGCUGGUUCUCCCCGAAAGCUAUUUAGGUAGCGCCUCGUGAAUUCAUCUCCGGGGGUAGAGCACUGUUUCGGCAAGGGGGUCAUCCCGACUUACCAACCCGAUGCAAACUGCGAAUACCGGAGAAUGUUAUCACGGGAGACACACGGCGGGUGCUAACGUCCGUCGUGAAGAGGGAAACAACCCAGACCGCCAGCUAAGGUCCCAAAGUCAUGGUUAAGUGGGAAACGAUGUGGGAAGGCCCAGACAGCCAGGAUGUUGGCUUAGAAGCAGCCAUCAUUUAAAGAAAGCGUAAUAGCUCACUGGUCGAGUCGGCCUGCGCGGAAGAUGUAACGGGGCUAAACCAUGCACCGAAGCUGCGGCAGCGACGCUUAUGCGUUGUUGGGUAGGGGAGCGUUCUGUAAGCCUGUGAAGGUGUGCUGUGAGGCAUGCUGGAGGUAUCAGAAGUGCGAAUGCUGACAUAAGUAACGAUAAAGCGGGUGAAAAGCCCGCUCGCCGGAAGACCAAGGGUUCCUGUCCAACGUUAAUCGGGGCAGGGUGAGUCGACCCCUAAGGCGAGGCCGAAAGGCGUAGUCGAUGGGAAACAGGUUAAUAUUCCUGUACUUGGUGUUACUGCGAAGGGGGGACGGAGAAGGCUAUGUUGGCCGGGCGACGGUUGUCCCGGUUUAAGCGUGUAGGCUGGUUUUCCAGGCAAAUCCGGAAAAUCAAGGCUGAGGCGUGAUGACGAGGCACUACGGUGCUGAAGCGACAAAUGCCCUGCUUCCAGGAAAAGCCUCUAAGCAUCAGGUAACAUCAAAUCGUACCCCAAACCGACACAGGUGGUCAGGUAGAGAAUACCAAGGCGCUUGAGAGAACUCGGGUGAAGGAACUAGGCAAAAUGGUGCCGUAACUUCGGGAGAAGGCACGCUGAUAUGUAGGUGAAGCGACUUGCUCGUGGAGCUGAAAUCAGUCGAAGAUACCAGCUGGCUGCAACUGUUUAUUAAAAACACAGCACUGUGCAAACACGAAAGUGGACGUAUACGGUGUGACGCCUGCCCGGUGCCGGAAGGUUAAUUGAUGGGGUUAGCGCAAGCGAAGCUCUUGAUCGAAGCCCCGGUAAACGGCGGCCGUAACUAUAACGGUCCUAAGGUAGCGAAAUUCCUUGUCGGGUAAGUUCCGACCUGCACGAAUGGCGUAAUGAUGGCCAGGCUGUCUCCACCCGAGACUCAGUGAAAUUGAACUCGCUGUGAAGAUGCAGUGUACCCGCGGCAAGACGGAAAGACCCCGUGAACCUUUACUAUAGCUUGACACUGAACAUUGAGCCUUGAUGUGUAGGAUAGGUGGGAGGCUUUGAAGUGUGGACGCCAGUCUGCAUGGAGCCGACCUUGAAAUACCACCCUUUAAUGUUUGAUGUUCUAACGUUGGCCCGUAAUCCGGGUUGCGGACAGUGUCUGGUGGGUAGUUUGACUGGGGCGGUCUCCUCCUAAAGAGUAACGGAGGAGCACGAAGGUUGGCUAAUCCUGGUCGGACAUCAGGAGGUUAGUGCAAUGGCAUAAGCCAGCUUGACUGCGAGCGUGACGGCGCGAGCAGGUGCGAAAGCAGGUCAUAGUGAUCCGGUGGUUCUGAAUGGAAGGGCCAUCGCUCAACGGAUAAAAGGUACUCCGGGGAUAACAGGCUGAUACCGCCCAAGAGUUCAUAUCGACGGCGGUGUUUGGCACCUCGAUGUCGGCUCAUCACAUCCUGGGGCUGAAGUAGGUCCCAAGGGUAUGGCUGUUCGCCAUUUAAAGUGGUACGCGAGCUGGGUUUAGAACGUCGUGAGACAGUUCGGUCCCUAUCUGCCGUGGGCGCUGGAGAACUGAGGGGGGCUGCUCCUAGUACGAGAGGACCGGAGUGGACGCAUCACUGGUGUUCGGGUUGUCAUGCCAAUGGCACUGCCCGGUAGCUAAAUGCGGAAGAGAUAAGUGCUGAAAGCAUCUAAGCACGAAACUUGCCCCGAGAUGAGUUCUCCCUGACCCUUUAAGGGUCCUGAAGGAACGUUGAAGACGACGACGUUGAUAGGCCGGGUGUGUAAGCGCAGCGAUGCGUUGAGCUAACCGGUACUAAUGAACCGUGAGGCUUAACCUU